RNAcentral lists this ribosomal RNA (684 nucleotides) under uncultured Nitrososphaerota archaeon. RNAcentral's name for it is "bacterial SSU rRNA". It matches the Rfam family "Archaeal small subunit ribosomal RNA", at positions 71 to 758 of the family's 1478-position model. Lineage: Archaea; Thermoproteati; Nitrososphaerota. The record is from RNAcentral.
GCAAUGCGUGGCAUACGGCUCAGUAACACGUAGUCAACAUGCCCAGGGGACGUGGAUAACCUCGGGAAACUGAGGAUAAACCGCGAUAGGCCAAGGUUUCUGGAAUGGACACUGGCUGAAACCUAUAUGGCCCCUGGAUUGGACUGCGGCCGAUCAGGCUGUUGGUGAGGUAAUGGCCCACCAAACCUGUAACCGGUACGGGCUUUGAGAGAAGGAGCCCGGAGAUGGGCACUGAGACAAGGGCCCAGGCCCUACGGGGCGCAGCAGGCGCGAAAAUUCUGCAAUAGGCGAAAGCUUGACAGAGUUACUCUGAGUGAUGCCCGCUAAGGGCAUCUUUUGGCACCUCUAAAAAUGGUGCAGAAUAAGGGGUGGGCAAGUCUGGUGUCAGCCGCCGCGGUAAUACCAGCACCCCGAGUGGUCGGGACGAUUAUUGGGCCUAAAGCAUCCGUAGCUUGUUCUGCAAGUCUUCCGUUAAAUCCACCUGCUCAACAGAUGGGCUGCGGGAGAUACUACAGGGCUAGGAGGCGGGAGAGGCAAGCGGUACUCAGUGGGUAGGGGUAAAAUCCUCUGAUCCACUGAAGACCACCAGUGGCGAAGGCGGCUUGCCAGAACGCGCUCGACGGUGAGGGAUGAAAGCUGGGGGAGCAAACCGGAUUAGAUACCCGGGUAGUCCCAGCUGUAAAC